This 511-nucleotide ribosomal RNA is filed under the name uncultured bacterium. Its description in RNAcentral is "partial 16S ribosomal RNA". The record is from RNAcentral.
GGAGUUAGCCGGUGCUUCUUCUGCGAGUAACGUCACAGAUGUAAGGUAUUAACUUACACCCUUUCCUCCUCGCUGAAAGUGCUUUACAACCCGAAGGCCUUCUUCACACACGCGGCAUGGCUGCAUCAGGGUUUCCCCCAUUGUGCAAUAUUCCCCACUGCUGCCUCCCGUAGGAGUCUGGGCCGUGUCUCAGUCCCAGUGUGGCUGAUCAUCCUCUCAGACCAGCUAGGGAUCGUCGCCUAGGUGAGCCUUUACCUCACCUACUAGCUAAUCCCACCUGGGCUUAUCCAUCAGCGCAAGGCCCGAAGGUCCCCUGCUUUCCCCCGUAGGGCGUAUGCGGUAUUAGCAGUCGUUUCCAACUGUUAUCCCCCACAAAUGGGCAAAUUCCCAGGCAUUACUCACCCGUCCGCCGCUCGUCAUCUUCAAAAGCAAGCUUUUGAAAUGUUACCGCUCGACUUGCAUGUGUUAGGCCUGCCGCCAGCGUUCAAUCUGAACCAAGAUCAAACUCUGA